CCUACGGGAGGCAGCAGUGAGGAAUAUUGGUCAAUGGGCGGAAGCCUGAACCAGCCAAGUAGCGUGCGGGAUGACGGCCCUACGGGUUGUAAACCGCUUUUAUACGGGAAUAACGCCCCUUACGUGUAGCGGUUUGCAUGUACCGUACGAAUAAGGACCGGCUAAUUCCGUGCCAGCAGCCGCGGUAAUACGGAAGGUCCGGGCGUUAUCCGGAUUUAUUGGGUUUAAAGGGGGCGUAGGCCGCAUGUCAAGCGUGCUGUAAAAUGUCCGGGCUCAACCCGGGCCGUGAGGGGGGAACUGGAGGGCUUGAGUACGCGGAAGGCAGGCGGAAUUCGUGGUGUAGCGGUGAAAUGCAUAGAUAUGACGAAGAACCCCGAUUGCGAAGGCAGCUUGCUGGAGCGGAACUGACGCUGAGGCUCGAAAGCGCGGGUAUCGAACAGGAUUAGAUACCCUAGUAGUC
Molecule: ribosomal RNA, 460 nt
Filed under: uncultured bacterium
Lineage: Bacteria
Description: partial 16S ribosomal RNA
Rfam family: Bacterial small subunit ribosomal RNA
Source: RNAcentral